This 2921-nucleotide ribosomal RNA is filed under the name Staphylococcus aureus. Its description in RNAcentral is "bacterial LSU rRNA". It matches the Rfam family "Bacterial large subunit ribosomal RNA". Lineage: Bacteria; Bacillati; Bacillota; Bacilli; Caryophanales; Staphylococcaceae. RNAcentral also lists the same sequence under 1 other name. The record is from RNAcentral.
UUAAGUUAUUAAGGGCGCACGGUGGAUGCCUUGGCACUAGAAGCCGAUGAAGGACGUUACUAACGACGAUAUGCUUUGGGGAGCUGUAAGUAAGCUUUGAUCCAGAGAUUUCCGAAUGGGGAAACCCAGCAUGAGUUAUGUCAUGUUAUCGAUAUGUGAAUACAUAGCAUAUCAGAAGGCACACCCGGAGAACUGAAACAUCUUAGUACCCGGAGGAAGAGAAAGAAAAUUCGAUUCCCUUAGUAGCGGCGAGCGAAACGGGAAGAGCCCAAACCAACAAGCUUGCUUGUUGGGGUUGUAGGACACUCUAUACGGAGUUACAAAGGACGACAUUAGACGAAUCAUCUGGAAAGAUGAAUCAAAGAAGGUAAUAAUCCUGUAGUCGAAAAUGUUGUCUCUCUUGAGUGGAUCCUGAGUACGACGGAGCACGUGAAAUUCCGUCGGAAUCUGGGAGGACCAUCUCCUAAGGCUAAAUACUCUCUAGUGACCGAUAGUGAACCAGUACCGUGAGGGAAAGGUGAAAAGCACCCCGGAAGGGGAGUGAAAUAGAACCUGAAACCGUGUGCUUACAAGUAGUCAGAGCCCGUUAAUGGGUGAUGGCGUGCCUUUUGUAGAAUGAACCGGCGAGUUACGAUUUGAUGCAAGGUUAAGCAGUAAAUGUGGAGCCGUAGCGAAAGCGAGUCUGAAUAGGGCGUUUAGUAUUUGGUCGUAGACCCGAAACCAGGUGAUCUACCCUUGGUCAGGUUGAAGUUCAGGUAACACUGAAUGGAGGACCGAACCGACUUACGUUGAAAAGUGAGCGGAUGAACUGAGGGUAGCGGAGAAAUUCCAAUCGAACCUGGAGAUAGCUGGUUCUCUCCGAAAUAGCUUUAGGGCUAGCCUCAAGUGAUGAUUAUUGGAGGUAGAGCACUGUUUGGACGAGGGGCCCCUCUCGGGUUACCGAAUUCAGACAAACUCCGAAUGCCAAUUAAUUUAACUUGGGAGUCAGAACAUGGGUGAUAAGGUCCGUGUUCGAAAGGGAAACAGCCCAGACCACCAGCUAAGGUCCCAAAAUAUAUGUUAAGUGGAAAAGGAUGUGGCGUUGCCCAGACAACUAGGAUGUUGGCUUAGAAGCAGCCAUCAUUUAAAGAGUGCGUAAUAGCUCACUAGUCGAGUGACACUGCGCCGAAAAUGUACCGGGGCUAAACAUAUUACCGAAGCUGUGGAUUGUCCUUUGGACAAUGGUAGGAGAGCGUUCUAAGGGCGUUGAAGCAUGAUUGUAAGGACAUGUGGAGCGCUUAGAAGUGAGAAUGCCGGUGUGAGUAGCGAAAGACGGGUGAGAAUCCCGUCCACCGAUUGACUAAGGUUUCCAGAGGAAGGCUCGUCCGCUCUGGGUUAGUCGGGUCCUAAGCUGAGGCCGACAGGCGUAGGCGAUGGAUAACAGGUUGAUAUUCCUGUACCACCUAUAAUCGUUUUAAUCGAUGGGGGGACGCAGUAGGAUAGGCGAAGCGUGCGAUUGGAUUGCACGUCUAAGCAGUAAGGCUGAGUAUUAGGCAAAUCCGGUACUCGUUAAGGCUGAGCUGUGAUGGGGAGAAGACAUUGAGUCUUCGAGUCGUUGAUUUCACACUGCCGAGAAAAGCCUCUAGAUAGAAAAUAGGUGCCCGUACCGCAAACCGACACAGGUAGUCAAGAUGAGAAUUCUAAGGUGAGCGAGCGAACUCUCGUUAAGGAACUCGGCAAAAUGACCCCGUAACUUCGGGAGAAGGGGUGCUCUUUAGGGUUAACGCCCAGAAGAGCCGCAGUGAAUAGGCCCAAGCGACUGUUUAUCAAAAACACAGGUCUCUGCUAAACCGUAAGGUGAUGUAUAGGGGCUGACGCCUGCCCGGUGCUGGAAGGUUAAGAGGAGUGGUUAGCUUCUGCGAAGCUACGAAUCGAAGCCCCAGUAAACGGCGGCCGUAACUAUAACGGUCCUAAGGUAGCGAAAUUCCUUGUCGGGUAAGUUCCGACCCGCACGAAAGGCGUAACGAUUUGGGCACUGUCUCAACGAGAGACUCGGUGAAAUCAUAGUACCUGUGAAGAUGCAGGUUACCCGCGACAGGACGGAAAGACCCCGUGGAGCUUUACUGUAGCCUGAUAUUGAAAUUCGGCACAGCUUGUACAGGAUAGGUAGGAGCCUUUGAAACGUGAGCGCUAGCUUACGUGGAGGCGCUGGUGGGAUACUACCCUAGCUGUGUUGGCUUUCUAACCCGCACCACUUAUCGUGGUGGGAGACAGUGUCAGGCGGGCAGUUUGACUGGGGCGGUCGCCUCCUAAAAGGUAACGGAGGCGCUCAAAGGUUCCCUCAGAAUGGUUGGAAAUCAUUCAUAGAGUGUAAAGGCAUAAGGGAGCUUGACUGCGAGACCUACAAGUCGAGCAGGGUCGAAAGACGGACUUAGUGAUCCGGUGGUUCCGCAUGGAAGGGCCAUCGCUCAACGGAUAAAAGCUACCCCGGGGAUAACAGGCUUAUCUCCCCCAAGAGUUCACAUCGACGGGGAGGUUUGGCACCUCGAUGUCGGCUCAUCGCAUCCUGGGGCUGUAGUCGGUCCCAAGGGUUGGGCUGUUCGCCCAUUAAAGCGGUACGCGAGCUGGGUUCAGAACGUCGUGAGACAGUUCGGUCCCUAUCCGUCGUGGGCGUAGGAAAUUUGAGAGGAGCUGUCCUUAGUACGAGAGGACCGGGAUGGACAUACCUCUGGUGUACCAGUUGUCGUGCCAACGGCAUAGCUGGGUAGCUAUGUGUGGACGGGAUAAGUGCUGAAAGCAUCUAAGCAUGAAGCCCCCCUCAAGAUGAGAUUUCCCAACUUCGGUUAUAAGAUCCCUCAAAGAUGAUGAGGUUAAUAGGUUCGAGGUGGAAGCAUGGUGACAUGUGGAGCUGACGAAUACUAAUCGAUCGAAGACUUAAUCAA